CUCUAGAUUGGAUCUGCCAAGGUUCCGCUUCGUGGCAGCGGAGUCUCCUCCCGAAAAGUUCCUCCUUAUUUUUUUCUCAUUGAAAGACUUCAUAUAGGAAAAGAUGGACGCCGAAGAGCCACCAAGGGGCCCACGAGGUAGGGGGCGCCUUAGGAGGGCGCCCCCACCCUCGUGAGAAGGGUGUGGGCCCCCCGACCUUCAUCUUUGGCGAGAAUUUUACUUUAUUUAUUUUAAGACGUUCCUUGGAGUUUCAGGACUUUUAGAAUUGCACAGAGUAGGUCUCUAAUAUUUGCUCUUUUUCCAUCCCAGAAUUCCAGCUGUCGGCAUUUUCCCUUUUCAUGUAAACCUUGUAAAAUAAGAUAGAAUAGCCAUAAGUAUUGUGACAUAAAAUGAAAUAACAUCCCAUAAUGCAAUAAAUAUCGAUAUAAAAGCAUGAUGCAAAAUGGACGUAUCACACCACUGCCACCACCGGAGUGCACUGCAGACUUCAAACUGAACCUUGGGAGCUGCUCACACCGUUUUGGCAUCUACUUUACUGCACCCCUUUUUUGAGAUGAACUCGGGAAGAUGAAGAUGCCAGCCGGCUAUAGUUUUUUCUCUCAAAAUCAAGUGAGUGAUGUGCAAACAACACCCUCACCUAUCCCGUGUUUGCCUGUUCAUCGAUGGGGAGAAAAGGAGGCCCGAGGGGAGGGAGGUGCGGUGGUUCUCCACAGAGGGGAGGAAGGGGGGGAAUACAGGGGGCAGCUCACCGGUGGACUGAGGGAGGGAGGCAAGUCAACUUCACGCGCCUAUGGGCCGAACUCCACGGCCGCACCAACGGAGCCCCUGCGAGCGAACUGCAGCACCACUGCACCGUCGUCAUCAUCCCGUGGCAGAAGGCGCCCAUGGCCGUAUCUCGCCGGGAAGCGGACCCCACGAUGCUAGUGGGGCCUCGGUGGAGGAGGACACUCACCGUAGGAGGGGAAGGGGGAGGGGUUGGGGAUGAACGCACAUCUCGAUGGAUCCUCACCGAUGAUCGUCAGAUGGAGGUGAGGACGGGGGAGGGAGCACCGCAUCUGGAAGGUAGCCGGCCGGGGGGUAGGUGGGUCACUACCACUUCUAUUCGCGGCCAGAUCUGGGUCGUGGGGCGCGCGUUGUGGUGGCGCGCGGGGGAGCAGCAGAUCGGGGCCCCGAAGCGUGGUGAAGUGCUGGGCGGCGGCCGAUCCGGUCAUUGAGGCAUGGGACGGCGACGCUGGGCGGGACCUCCUGGCAUCGGUGGUGCCUGGGAAGUGGGCGGCGCAGGGAGAAAGGUGGGCGAGGAGCACGGGGAGAAAGGCAGGGGCGUGGUAGCGCGUCGGUUGGGGUUGCUGGGCGGCGACGAGAAGGAGGGUAACGGGGCGGCGGGCCGGAGCAAGGGGGGACCGGCGACGGAGGGUUGGCGCAGAGGAGAAGGCGUAGAGUGGUGGUGGAUCGGGGGUUGUGUCGUGGAGGUAGGUGGUGGGGGUCAGUUGCGGGAAGGAGGCGGAUCAGGUGGGAGCAAAGUUUUUUUUUUCCUUUUGCUGUAGUUCGUUUUCAUGUGGUGUUUGCCUGUUCGGUUCGGGUGGGUAGGUUAAUAGGGUGUUAUCAGAAUAAGGAGGUGGUGUUAUUAGAAUAGAUCCACCCUAUAUAUAUAUAUGGUAUCCCUUCGCUUUUUCUUCCUCACAUACAUAAUCUCGUCAAGCCUAUUAUUCUUUAUCGUGUCAAAAUUAACUUCUCUGUAAUUGAAGCAACCAAUUUCUCUGAACUGGCCAUUGAUUUAUACCUUCUCUCACUAACACACUCACACACACAAUACUACGUUGCUCUUACAGUUCAUUUGUUGGUAUGUGCUUCACAAUGGCAUACAUAUAAAGUGUGCAUAGUGUAUCCUUUUUGGCGAUCUUUAUACACACAUUUACUAUUCGAAUUUUCUUAGUUUCGCACUUUUCUCUUGUCCAUACUUCCAAUAAUGGUGAACUUCAUUAGUAUCAAAAAAAAUCACGGAUGCCUUCCCUCAUCUUCACUCUCCUCAUUUCAUACACAUUGUUGUUGAUACAUCUACUACAUGCCUUUUAUUUUUGCAUUGGUACAAACACUCGGUAUAUCUUUAUAUAUCCGAGGCAUGUAAUGUUUACAUCUUUUACUGCUACAACCUGAAUCAUGUUGAAAAAAACAAAUGGGUUAUUUAUUUAAAUCUUAUUGUAUGUUUCCUGUUAUAUACAUAUUUACCAUGUUCAACUAAUGCCAAUAUAAGCAUUGUAGAUCAUUCUUUUCCUCUAGAGAUAUAUUAGUUGUGUCUAACACUUUUUCUGUAGAUAUAAUCAUGAAAAUAGAUGGGCUUCGCAUUUCAAUAUGUGAAAACGUGUCCUUGAAACUUCUGUCAAAAAUGUUUUUGAACAUAAAGUACCCAAGACCUAAGUGAUUGCUAUUUUCAAACAAGGUAGAUAAAUUUUUCUCCUUGCAGGUAGGUACAGACUUUUGAUGGAUUUGAUUUGACCCAAUCUUGCUUGGCUAAUAUAUUGUUUAGACAAUUGUCCAGUUCUGUUUAGCUAUAUGAGGCUCAGGUUUACCUGUAUAGUUACGUACUAUUAUGAUGGAAAGGUAUAGUAUAGUUAUAUUUUAGGAAAGUAAGCCUUCCGCAUGCAUGCAUGCACUUUUAACAUUUGGUUAAAUAGAUGUAUGCCAUUGCAGUUCUAGUUUGCGGGAUCAAGUAUUAGUUGAACAUGAAUCAGAAUCAGUCUGUAGGUACAUACAACUAUUUCUCCUACUUCUAAUCUAUUCGUCUUGCUGAUGCUAAAGUUUACAUCAUAUGCUUACUGAUUGAAUCGAUAUCGGUUAACAUGUGCUUGACUCGUCCACUUUUCCUUUUCUAAUUUGGAUCGAUUUCUUCUAUACAGAUUCUUCAUGGCAAAGGCAUACCUUUUGCUUUUCAGCAGGAGCUAGCUUGGAAGGCCAUUAUAUAAACACUAUUCUGAUCAUGGGAUCAGAAUAUUAUUCUGCUCACAACCUGAACUUCUUGAGUUACAAAACCUGAACUUCGCUUUGUACGAACCCGACCUUCGGGCUAUCGUCGCAACCGUUUCUGUAUGUGAUGUAAGUGUAAUCUAGAAACGGUUUUUGGCAACUAAAUGCCCGUUUUAAAUAGGAAUCUCGCUCGUUGGCAGAUUUUGCUCUCGGGUUGUGAUGAACAUGCGGCUGUUGCAAUUUUACUGUCUGAGUUGUUCGACCUGAACUUCCCCCCAGUGCUAGGUUGAACUUCCGCAAACAUUGCCCAAAUGGGGCUUGCGAUAUACUGUUGGAAAGCUAUGGACACGAGUAUCAUGAUCCAAAUUAAAUUUUCAGCAAAAUGUAAGCGGUUUAAGAGCAGUUUUGAAAACCAUUUUUUCUUCAUACAAAAACGUGAAUCGUAUUUUCAAUCUCAUUUCUAAACCGUUUAUUGAAUAAGGAAAAUAAUAUGGCAUUGGAAAGCUGCUGCAAAACCGCUCCUUCCACAUGUUGAAAGUUUUCUCUAAAUCUAUACCUAUACUAAUUAGCGACUUCCAAGAAAUUACCACGUUAAAUAGAAUUUAUGAGCCGUUCAUCUCUGAUGGGACCGAAUUAUUAUGGUAUAGAUCCACUCAUAUAAUCUUAGGCUAAAAAACAAGAGAUGCCACGUCCCUACAGAUGCCCUCAAAAAAUAAACUCCCACGAUCCAACUCUCCCCGUCUCUCAUGUAUAUCUCCAAAAAGGAAACAAACAAUCUCACGUAUAUCUCCCUCUAGUUUAACUGACUCACGAUCCAAAUAUCUCAUCCUCUCAUGUCCUAAAAAAACUCCCACGAUCCAACUCCCCCAAUCUCUCAUGUAUCUCUCUAGAAAAAUAUCUCACACGCAUAUAUAUCGCUCACAAUCCAAAUCUCUCAAUCUCUCAUGUACGCAUCUCUCUCCCAUUGUGAUGGAAAAAAGAGCCAACCUGACCUAACUUACAUGUAUUAAAAGUCAGUUUUCAAGGAUCCACGUUAAUCUUAGGUCUGAGUUUGUUUUGUUGGAAAAAAGGGAAGCCCACGUCGAUCCCCUCCAUGCCACCUCCGAUCUCCUCUUUCUAGCUGCCGCCUCUCAACUCCUCCUUUCUGGCUCCCCAACCUCCUGAUCUACUCCUUGUUGCCAUCUCCAUCUCCACGCACUGUUGGCACCAGUUUAGCUUAUCAUUGCUAAGCCCACGCUUCCUCGAUCUAGCUUGGCACGCAUCCACCCUCUUCUCCAAGAGUAAUAAGGAUUCAUGCAAAUUUGAUGUGUCUCUUGCUAGACGUCAAGAUCUAUACAAUUUACUUGAGUGUAUCUCCGUUUUCAAUCUUAUGUGUCCUCUACAAAUUGAAUUGUCCAUCACUACAUAUGUGUGCAGAACACAUCUUGGCCUGAGGUGCUUGCAUUUUUUUCUUUUUGCUUUGAUUCCUUUCUAUGAUACAACUAACUGUUGCUUUUCUUACAGAUAUAUUAGUAUAUACAUGUUCCAUUGGUUGAUGCAUUUAUGUGAUAUGCCGAUCCUAAUAAGCACUCCCGAUCACCGACGUGCAUAGCCUAAGAUGAGUGCCAGCUAGCUCGGGGAACUCCUGCUGUAUGCGUCGGACACCGGCUUCGUCCCCCAUAUGUGAAGCAAUGGCACUAUGCAGGUUCGAUCUAUAUACAACUUUAUAAACAUGGAAAGUAAUAUAAGAUGUCCUUUUGAUCUUUUUCACAGGCUGAUUGAGACCACAAGAAGAGACAACAGUUUGUCGACAGGAAAAGUAUGGAUGGAAAUUUUACAUGUGUGCCCAUCUUUGUUCUUCACCUCCCCUACCAGCCAUUGUUCAUAUUCGAAGUGAAAAACCAUGUCUAUAUACAACAUGGACCUGCUACACUAAAUAGUAAAUAUACAUCAACAUUGGGUCAUCAACUUCAGAGACUUUCAUCCUGUUGUGUUGUGGUGUCACGGAGACAUUCAAAGGUGUCAAAUGCAAGAAGGCCAAUAGUGUAUGCAUGUGAUACUACACUAAUUUAUCCUCUUUACAACCUAUAUAUGUUCAUCUAAUAACUGUUUUUUCUCAACAAAAGGCUGGAUCAUGCAGAUCGAUAUAAUAUAUCAUUGCCGAGACAUAUUAGAUAGAAAUUUGCAAUAGACCACUUCCGCAAAACUCCCUUGCAGAGCUGCAAUCAAGGUCUUUGAAAUUUCUCCUCAGUCCAUCUAUCUAAUGUGGUUCCAUAUCUUGCAGCCAAAUGGUGAGAAGGAGAAUAAUCCAGUGCCAAAGGCUACAUCUUCUGGAGCAACCGCGACAUCAGGAUCAUGAAUGUUGAGGCUCCCAUAGUCUAGUGCAGUACUAGGUAAAGUAAUUUCUGGCAGUUGCCCUGAGCAACGAUAUAGAUAGCAGUUUAUCAUCCAACGAUUAGUUCUUCCUUUUGUUCAUUGUUGUGCUUAAUCAUUACCUUUACAGGUAAUUCUGAAUCCAGUGUGAUCCAUGAUCAAGUUUAUAUAAUGCAUAAAUAAAUCCCCUACUCUAGAUCUUUUUUAUGUACAUUUGUAGAUGUACCUGAGUGUUGAUUUUAAUUAUGUCACCUAUCCAUGAAUGCUACGAGUGGUGUACUGCUACUUCUUUAGAUCGUUCAUGGUAUAUUUUGCAUAGGACAUUUCGAACCUAUUUGAAAGCAUAUAUGUUAACCUACUAAUCCAUAUACCCUCACAAAAAUAAACCCUACUAAUCCAUAUAUAUGGUUUAUAUCCUUAUUAUGUUAAUUUAUUAUUUGGGAAUAAUUGGGUAUAUAUAUGAGUGUAUCUAUAGACUAUGGCGCUUUUUUCUCUCUACUAAAGAUUUAGAAGUAUCUGCACAUGCCGCAGACACAAGAUACAAUGCCCAGGGUUAUAUGUAAAAUUUAGUUAGCCUAUUUGUUUCUAAAUCAUCAAGAAUUAACCUAUGUUUUAAUAUGAAAUGAUCAUGCUGGAAUUAACUAUAUGAUGGUCUGAACAAACAUGGUGCUAUUUAUGGUGAGCUGAUUAGUUGUAGGGCUAUUGAACAUAUUUAAUGCAGUUUGGGCGCAAAAUCCUUCAGCUUAACCAUUCCUACAUAUACAUUAUCCUGCAUAUAUACUUCACUAAAUGGUGUACUGUUCAUCCUAAAUGAUUACUAUUCUGUAAACAACCACUAUCUAUGACAUGUGUGUGUGUGUGUGUGUGUGUGUGUGUGUGUUAGAUUUCAUUAGGUUCGAAGGAAGUUUACCUUACAUACCGUGAUUGUAUUCUUUUCCAGAUUACUACUGCACACUCAGAUUCAUUCCCUUUCCUUUUUUUGACAAAACACAACAUCACUGCAUUUACAUUCAGAACAGGAAGUAAAGUUGUGACGCCCGGAUAUGUAGGCUACAGUAAUCACAUACUAAUGAUGCCAUGUCACCGCGGUCACUAUUGUUAAUCUCGCGUUAGUCCAAAACCGAGUCAAAUUCAAAUUUCAAAUAACAAGUCAAAUUAUUAUUUCUUAAACUAUCAAAUAAAAAUGUUCAAUGGGCGGUAAAUAUUCACUAAGUAAUGAUCAUGUUGGAACCAACCUCAUUUGGUUUCCUAAUUUCCCCAUGGAAUUAAUUUAGUGGAACAACUAGAUUAAAUAAGAGCAAUUUAAUUCAACUAUAAACUUGAACAGUUCCAAUUGGCCUCAAACUUUUUGUGCAACCUUAUAGUGUUGACUAGGAAUUAUGUGCAAUGUUUCAUAGUCAACAAAAAUCAUUUGGCAGAUUAAAAUGAAUAGAAAAUAGUAAGAGAAAAAAAAUAAGUAAAAGGGAAAAUAUACUAUACCUACUGUGCAAUUAAGCCUAUUGCAAUAGUACUCAGGCCCAGCCCACCAAAGGCCUUCUCCUGUAUCUGUACAUAGGAGGAGGCAGGAGCUCGCCGUGGCGCGCAUCCGCGGCCACCACGGUUCGAUGCUCCCCACCGAGGCGCUACAGGAGCAACACGAGAUGGAUAAGAAGAUCCCCGACCCGGUAGACAAACCCUAGCCCUCGCUCAUCCUCUCGCUCGUCCUCUCCUUCUCGGUUUGGUUCGCUUCCGAGCUACCGUCGACGCGCCGUCGCCGUCCACGUGGCCACCGGCCUCCCCGGCGACCGGGAGGUUGUCCAGGGACUUCCUCGUCACCGACUCCGUCAUCACCGUGCAUCCGUUCGACAGGAGACGCACCGUGCGCUCGGGAUCGAGCCGGUUUCUCCGCCAUGGCCGCGGCAUCUCACCAUUGAUCUACACCACCGCGCCACCUCGGCCGUCGCAAGCAUGUCCCCGGCCUUCCUCUCGGUGAUUCGCGCCGAUUCCCCUCUUCCCCCGUCGAAUCCAUAGCCGUAUGCCUUCGCCACCGCGUGCCCGGAUCUCUGUGGGAGCUCGUGGUCACCACCACUUCUGCCUUGCUUCCCCGCGCCCAUGCGUGCAUCGGCCACGUUCUCUGGACGCGACCGCCUACGCGUGGCUGCACGCCCCUGGCCUUGCCUUGGCGUGCCGCGGCGCGCCCGUAGCCACCCUUGUCCGCACUCGCUGUACCGCUGGUGUCUGCUUACUGCAGUGCUGCACCGCGGCCCGCCGUCGCGCCCGCCGGCGUGCUUCCUGGCCGCGGCCACCCCUGCGCCUGGGCUCGCUCACGCCUGCCUGCUGCCUACUGCUUGCUGCUACUGCAUCUUGCUGCUUGCCGCUGCUUGCUACUGCUCUUAGCGGCCGCUGCUGCUGAACUACCUCUACUGCUGCCGCUGCAGGCCAACAGCCAUGGCCAAGAGCGGCUAAGUGUGUGUGUAUGCAGCGUGGUGUGCGUGAGUGUGCUAGGUGUGUGUUUGUGUGUGGUCGGCUUAAUUAGUACUACUAGUUUAGGGACUAAUUUAGUUAGUUAGUCUAGUUAUAGUAGUACUAGUUGAUUAGUUCAAUAAUAAAUGGCAUGGGGAACCCCCUGUUAGUUUAAAGAAAAACAAAUUUUAAUAAAAGUCUAUGUCAAUGACAUGUGGCCCUACACUGUUGAUAUGUUGAGUUGUCAAUAUUUGACUGGGUCAACCCAACACCACUGGCCACACUGGCAUACACUACGGCUAGAAAAUUAAUGAAAACUUUAAAAAUUAAUAUAAAAUAAAACCAUAACUCGGAUGAAAAAACUCUGUACAUGAAAGUUGCUUAGAACGACGAGACGAAUCCGGAUACGCAGCCCAUUCGACCGCCACGUAUCCCUAGCAUAGCGGACACGCAACUUUCCCCCUCCAAUUCAUUUGUCCGAAAACGCGAAACCCCGGGGAUAUUUUUCCGGAUGUUUCCCCCCUUCACCGGUAUCACCUCAUACCGCGUUAGAGCACACCUAGCAUCACGCUUUGUCAUGUCAUGCAUCGUCAUGCAUUUGUUUGCAUUAUAUUUAUUGUUUCUUCCCCCUUUUCUCUCGCUAGACACCGAGAUCGACGCCGCUGCUACCCAGUACGACUACGGUGUUGACGGCCCCUCUCUCUUGCCAGAGCAACCAGGCAAGCCCCCCCCCCCCUUGAUCACCAGAUAUCGCCUACCCUUCUCUNNNNNNNNNNNNNNNNNNNNNNNNNNNNNNNNNNNNNNNNNNNNNNNNNNNNNNNNNNNNNNNNNNNNNNNNNNNNNNNNNNNNNNNNNNNNNNNNNNNNNNNNNNNNNNNNNNNNNNNNNNNNNNNNNNNNNNNNNNNNNNNNNNNNNNNNNNNNNNNNNNNNNNNNNNNNNNNNNNNNNNNNNUCUCUACUGCUUGUAUUAGAGUAGUGUAGCAUGUUACUGCUUUCCGCUAAUCCUAUUCUGAUGCAUAGCCUGUCAUUGUUGCUACAACUGUUGAUACCUUACCUGCAAUCCUAAAUGCUUAGUAUAGGAUGCUAAUUUAUCAUCAGUGGCCCUACAUUCUUGUCUGUCUGCCUUGCUAUACUAUCGGGCCGUGAUCACUCGUGAGGUGAUCACGGGUAUAUACUUAUACAUAUUAUAUGAUACCUGUGGUGAUUAAAGUCGGGUCGGCUCGUUGAGUACCCGCAGUUGAUUCCGAUGUUGGGGGCUGGAGGGGCAGGUGGUUCCACCCAGGUAGUGGUGGGCCUAGGUUCCCGACGGCUCCCGACUGUUACUUUGAGGCGGAGCGACAGGGCAGGCGGAGACCACCUAGGAGAGAGGUGGGCCUGACCCUGGUCGGCAUUCGCGGUUACUUCAAAAUAACAUGCUUAACGAGAUCUGGGUAUUUGAUCUGAGUCUAGCCACUGGCCUAUACGCACUAACCAACUACGCGGGAACAGUUAUGGGAACUCGACGUCGUGGUAUCAGCCGAAGCCUUCGUGACGUCAACGACUGAGCGACGCGCGCCGGGUUGGACUGGAACGCCUGCUCUUGUAUAAGGGAGGCUAGGUCUGCUCGCCGGCCGCGUACGCAACGUGCAGGUGUGCAAUGGGCGAUGGGCCCAGACCCCUGCGCCAUAGGAUUUAGACCGGCGUGCUGACCUCUCUGUUGUGCCUAGGUAGGGCUGCGACGUGUUGAUCUUCCGAGGCCGGACAUGACCCAGAAAAGUGUGUCUGGACAAAGGGGAUCGAGCGUGUUGGGAAAUGUGGUGCACCCCUGCAGGGAAGUUUAUCUAUUCGAAUAGCUGUGAUCUUCGGUAACAUGACGACUUGGAGUUGUACCUUGACCUUAUGACAACUAGAACCGGAUACUUAAUAAAACACACCAUUCCAAGUGCCAGAUACAACCGGUAAUCGCUCUCUCAUAGGGCGAUGAGGGGAGGAUCAUCGGUUAGGAUUAUGCUAUGCGAUGUUACUUGGUGAACUUACCAUCUACUCUCUUCUUCUGCUGCAAGAUGGAGGUUACCAGAAGCAUAGUCUUCGAUAUGACUAGUUAUCCCCCUCUUAUUCCAGUUUUGUGCAGUUCAGUCCACAUAUGCUACCCCUUUUUCAUUUGAUACCAAUGCAUGCAUCUGUAGUGUAGCUCCUUGCUUGCGAGUACUUUGGAUAAGGAUUCACGGUUGCUUUGCUCCCCCUUUUUCCCCUUUCUAUAGCCGAUUGUUGCAACCAGAUGUUGGAGUCCAGGAGCAAGACGCCACCGUUGACGAUGACUCCUACUACACUGGAGGCGCCUACUACUACGUGUAGGCCGCUAACGACGACCAGGAGUAGUUUAGGAGGAUCCCAGGCAGAAGGCCUGCGCCUCUUUCGAUCUGUAUCCUAGUUUGUGCUAGCCUUCUUAAGGCAAACUUGUUUACUUAUGUUUGUACUCAGAUAUUGUUUCUUCCGCUGACUCGUCUAUAAUCGAGCUCUUGUAUUCGAGCCCUCGAGGCCCCUGGCUUGUAAUAUGAUGCUGUAUGACUUAUUUUAUUUGUACAAUUGUGUUGUGAUAUCUUCCCGUGAGUCCCUGAUCUUGAUCGUACACGUUUGCAUGUAUAAUUAGUGUACGGUCAAAUCGGGGGUGUCACAAAAGUUAAGAGAAACAUAUACCGAGCUAGACAUGAGAGAAAUAAAACAGCAAGAUUAAAUCAUUGAUGACCCACAAGUGUAGGGGAUCUACCGUAGCCUUUUCGAUAAGUAAGAGUGUCGAACCCAACAAGGAGCAGAAGAAAAUGAUAAGUAGUUUUAAGUAAGGUAUUCUCUGUCAGCACUAAAAUUAUCGGUAACAGAUAGUUUUGUGAUAAGGUAAUUUGCAACGAGUAGCAAGUAAUAAAAGUAAAUAAGGUGCAGCAAGAUGGCCCAAUCCUUUAUGUAGCAAAGGACAAGUCUGGACAAACUCUUAUAUGAAGGAAAGCGCUCCCGAGGACAUAUGGGAAUUAUCGUCAAGCUAGUUUUCAUCACGUUCAUAUGAUUUGCGUUCGGUACUUUGAUAAUUUGAUAUGUGGGUGGACCAAUGCUUGGGUACUUCCCUUACUUGGACAAGCAUCCCACUUAUGAUUAACCCCUAUUGCAAGCAUCCGCAACUACAACAGAAGUAUUAAGGUAAACCUAACCAUAGCAUGAAACAUAUGGAUCCAAAUCAGCCCCUUACGAAGCAAUGCAUAAACUAGAGUUUAAGCUUCUGUCACUCUAGCAACCCAUCAUCUACUUAUUACUUCCCAAUGCCUCCCUCUUGGCCCAAAUAAUGAUGAAGUGUCAUGUAGUCGACGUUCACAUGACACCAGUAGAGGGAUGACAACAUACAUCUCAUCAAAAUAUCGAACAAAUACCAAAUUCACAUGACUACAUAUAGCAAGACUUCUCCCAUGUCCUCAGGAACAAACUAACUACUCACAAAGCAUAUUCAUGUUCAUAAUUAGAGGGGUAUUAAUAUGCAUAAUGGAUCUGAACAUAUGAUCUCCCACCAAGUAAACCAACUAGCAUGAACUACAAGGAGUAAUCAACACUACUAGCAAUCCAUAGGUACCAAUCUAAGGAUUGGAUACAAAGAUUGGAUACAAGAGAUGAACUAGGAUUUGAGAUGAGAUGGUGCUGGUGAAGAUGUUGAUGGAGAUUGACCCCCUCCCGAUGAGAGGAUCGUUGGUGAUGAUGAUGGUGAUGAUUCCCCCCUCCCGGAGGGAAGUUUCCCUGGCAGAACAGCUCCGCGGAAGCCCUAGAUUGGUUCCGCCAAGGUUCCGCCUCGUGGCGGCGGAGUUUUGUCCCGUGAGCUUGCUUAUGAUUUUUUCUGGGACGAAAGACCUCAUAUAUCAGAAGAUGGGCAUCAGAGGGCAACCAGGGGGCCCACGAGGCAGGGGGGCGUGCCCAGGGGCGUAGGGCGUGCCCCCACCCUCGUGGCCAGGGUGUGGGCCCCCUCUAGAACUUUCUCCGCUCAGUAUUUGUUAUUAAUUCCAAAAAUGACUUCCUUGAAGUUUCAGGACUUUUGGAGCUGUGCAAAAUAGGUCUCUAAUAUUUGCUCCUUUU
This 11840-nucleotide long non-coding RNA is filed under the name Triticum aestivum (bread wheat). RNAcentral's name for it is "long non-coding RNA (TAES_LNC015107)". The record is from RNAcentral. Lineage: Eukaryota; Viridiplantae; Streptophyta; Magnoliopsida; Poales; Poaceae.